AUCACUUGAGCUUCGAAUGGUUCCAGAAAACCAGUCCGGUUUUCAGGAUCAAAAGGGAAUGCGGAGGGAUGGACCCAAUCAGGGCAUCUUUAUCGCAGCCGACCCCGCGACUGUAGAGCGGCGAGGCAAAUGUCACCGGCCCCGGAGGCCGGGCGUGCGGCAAGACAAUGGUGUCGACCUGCACUGCUCCAGUCCGGACCGGACAAGCCACUGACGUGGCGGCAUGAUCAACAGGCGCGGACGCCUCUAUAUCUACGAAUCGUCCCGUUUUCAUGACCGCAGGACACGUUGGGAAGGCCGGCAUUUGCCGAUGUCGACGGCAACGUCGACACGACCCGCGAGCCAGGAGACCUGCCAUUCGCACCGGUUGAGA
This 373-nucleotide non-coding RNA is filed under the name Hoeflea sp. The record is from RNAcentral. Lineage: Bacteria; Pseudomonadati; Pseudomonadota; Alphaproteobacteria; Hyphomicrobiales; Rhizobiaceae.